GACAGAGGUGCCAAGCGUUAGGCGGAAUCACUGGGCUUAAAGCGUGUGUAGGCGGAUGCCUAAGUACCUUGUGAAAUCCCCCGGCUCAACCGGGGAACGGCUGGGUAUACUGGGUGUCUUGGGUCAUCUAGGGGCUGCCGGAACAAAUGGUGGAGCGGUGAAAUGCGUAGAUAUCGGGAGGAACACCUGUGGCGAAAGCGGCUCACUGGACCACAACUGACGCUGAGGCGCGAAAGCUAGGGGAGCAAACAGG
This 253-nucleotide ribosomal RNA is filed under the name uncultured bacterium. RNAcentral's name for it is "partial 16S ribosomal RNA". It matches the Rfam family "Bacterial small subunit ribosomal RNA", at positions 524 to 776 of the family's 1533-position model. The record is from RNAcentral.